CAAAAGAAUAAUAUGUGAAAAAAUGAACACCAGAGAAAAAAAGAAAAGUGCACGAAAAGUAAUAGUCGUUUUGUAUGAGCAUGAUAAAAGCUUACUAGUAUUAUGAAACAUAGGAACGUAUCAUCGCUUAGAAAAAAGAAUAGUACAAUCGUCCUAGUAUGUUACUUCUACCUCACCAAAAGACUAUGUAUAUUAGAGACCACACGCCUGUAUGUAUGUAGGAUGACCUAUUUUAGUCUUUAAUGAACCUUUCUCUACAAGUGUAUCGAACGAAAAAAGGAGAAUUUCAAAGAGAACUUCACAUAAAAAGCUUUAAAAAUGAAUAUAUGAAAUAUUCCUAUACUUAAAUACUUCUGUAAUUAUUAUAUUUUUUUUCUUCAAUUUUUUUAUCAUUUUAUAUUAUGUACUAACCGUAUAAUUAGCAAGUGAUAAACUUUUUAUUGUAAAAAUAUUUUGUAUUGUAAAAAAUAUUAAUUUGAUAGGUAAUUAGGGAAGAAAUUUUUUACACCAGAAAAAUAAUACUGAAAAUAAAAUUCCUAUGAUCUAGUAAAAUCCCUACGAUCUUACUCCCUAGAGUAACACAAUUCCCCACUCUUUCGUUAAAACUGUGUCACGUGGUAUCCAUUAGUUCCGAUCGCGACGCGUCGAUUAUUUGGCGUUUUGUGUUCAUGGCGAAGCCUGAAAGAAGUCUUGGGAGGAAGCCGUUGCAAGCCACCCUAAAGAAGAAGUAUAACUUCCACGAACAAUAGCCGGUCGUUAUCUUGACCGGCGCUUCGCCGCACGCAUUGUACUCGCGUUGUAUCCUUUCCGUGAACACGAUCGCCUCAACAAUGCACUGCCAUUGACUCUCUUUCACUGGAUCGUUGGAUCAGAAUGUGCAAGAAAGAAGAAGCAGAUAGAAAGUUUCUGAGUUAAACAAUUACUUAUUAUAUUUGAUUAUUAAAUUUAAUAAUCACAUUCCAAAACAAAAAUAACAAUAAAUAUAUUAAUAACCUCCACUUACCAUCCAUCAUGUGUCGAAGUACUUAGAUGUUAAUCUUCUGGAAAAAUAUUUGCCCAAGAAGAGGAGUGUGGCCGUAAUAAAAAGCGGCGCAUAGAUGCAUCCCUGCACGGCAGUAAAGACGCCGGCCGAGACAUCCAACGAGGGAGCAGCAAACCGUUCGGAAUAUUUCGUUUCUGGCGGAAGCGUGUCGGUGUUAUCUCCGCCUCUGGCGUCAGUCGGAGCCCAGCCACGUUCGACUCGUGGCGACUUUCGUCUGAAUAAUUUCUGGUAUCUCAUUGACCCAUCUUGGGAACGCACGUAGAAGAAGGCGGGUUUCGAGCGACAGCUUUGUGGCGCCUCCGCGAUUAGAAAAAUUAAGAAACCAAAGAAGGUGGAUUAAGGAUCGCGCAUAUAUUCGAGAUAAUUUUGCGUGCUGCGAAAUAUUUAAGAAUGGCUAUAAAAGUUGAUGAUUGUAUAAUCAUAGUUAAAUCUAAAGUCAUCUGAAAAUCGAUGAUAUUGUGUUAGAUCACUGAAUUUGUCUUUCUGAUGUUAGCCGUUAGUAAUAUCAUCGAAAUUAAUCGUUGAUAUUAAUUUUUUUAUUGAAAAAAGAAAAAUUCUUUAGAAAUUUUUAAUAUUUAAAUAUGUAGUCAAUUGAAAAAUGAUUAA
Molecule: long non-coding RNA, 1648 nt
Organism: Apis mellifera (honey bee)
Lineage: Eukaryota; Metazoa; Arthropoda; Insecta; Hymenoptera; Apidae
Exons: 4
Source: RefSeq, a predicted model, not a curated record